Molecule: ribosomal RNA, 1553 nt
Filed under: Anaerobacillus isosaccharinicus
Lineage: Bacteria; Bacillati; Bacillota; Bacilli; Caryophanales; Bacillaceae
Description: Anaerobacillus sp. NB2006 Bacterial small subunit ribosomal RNA
Rfam family: Bacterial small subunit ribosomal RNA
Source: Rfam by way of RNAcentral
UUUAUGGAGAGUUUGAUCCUGGCUCAGGACGAACGCUGGCGGCGUGCCUAAUACAUGCAAGUCGAGCGGACAAUUGAGAGCUUGCUCUCAAUUGUUAGCGGCGGACGGGUGAGUAACACGUGGGCAACCUGCCCUGUAGACUGGGAUAACUUCGGGAAACCGAAGCUAAUACCGGAUAAUCUUUAGCAUCACAUGGUGCAAAAGUAAAAGUUGGGUUUUACCUAACACUACAGGAUGGGCCCGCGGCGCAUUAGCUAGUUGGUAAGGUAAUGGCUUACCAAGGCGACGAUGCGUAGCCGACCUGAGAGGGUGAUCGGCCACACUGGGACUGAGACACGGCCCAGACUCCUACGGGAGGCAGCAGUAGGGAAUCUUCCGCAAUGGACGAAAGUCUGACGGAGCAACGCCGCGUGAACGAUGAAGGCCUUCGGGUCGUAAAGUUCUGUUGUUAGGGAAGAACAAGUACCGUUCGAAUAGGGCGGUACCUUGACGGUACCUAACCAGAAAGCCACGGCUAACUACGUGCCAGCAGCCGCGGUAAUACGUAGGUGGCAAGCGUUGUCCGGAAUUAUUGGGCGUAAAGCGCGCGCAGGCGGUCUCUUAAGUCUGAUGUGAAAGCCCACGGCUCAACCGUGGAGGGUCAUUGGAAACUGGGAGACUUGAGUGCAGAAGAGGAGAGUGGAAUUCCAUGUGUAGCGGUGAAAUGCGUAGAUAUAUGGAGGAACACCAGUGGCGAAGGCGACUCUCUGGUCUGUAACUGACGCUGAGGCGCGAAAGCGUGGGGAGCAAACAGGAUUAGAUACCCUGGUAGUCCACGCCGUAAACGAUGAGUGCUAGGUGUUAGGGGUUUCGAUGCCCUUAGUGCCGAAGUUAACACAUUAAGCACUCCGCCUGGGGAGUACGACCGCAAGGUUGAAACUCAAAGGAAUUGACGGGGGCCCGCACAAGCAGUGGAGCAUGUGGUUUAAUUCGAAGCAACGCGAAGAACCUUACCAGGUCUUGACAUCCUUUGACAACCCUAGAGAUAGGGCUUUCCCCUUCGGGGGACAAAGUGACAGGUGGUGCAUGGUUGUCGUCAGCUCGUGUCGUGAGAUGUUGGGUUAAGUCCCGCAACGAGCGCAACCCUUGAUCUUAGUUGCCAGCAUUCAGUUGGGCACUCUAAGGUGACUGCCGGUGACAAACCGGAGGAAGGUGGGGAUGACGUCAAAUCAUCAUGCCCCUUAUGACCUGGGCUACACACGUGCUACAAUGGAUGGUACAAAGGGCAGCAAAACCGCGAGGUUGAGCCAAUCCCAUAAAGCCAUUCUCAGUUCGGAUUGUAGGCUGCAACUCGCCUACAUGAAGCCGGAAUUGCUAGUAAUCGCGGAUCAGCAUGCCGCGGUGAAUACGUUCCCGGGCCUUGUACACACCGCCCGUCACACCACGAGAGUUUGUAACACCCGAAGUCGGUGGGGUAACCUUUAUGGAGCCAGCCGCCUAAGGUGGGACAGAUGAUUGGGGUGAAGUCGUAACAAGGUAGCCGUAUCGGAAGGUGCGGCUGGAUCACCUCCUUU